CGACUAAGCGUACACGGUGGAUGCCCUGGCAGUCAGAGGCGAUGAAGGACGUGCUAAUCUGCGAAAAGCGUCGGUAAGGUGAUAUGAACCGUUAUAGCCGGCGAUGUCCGAAUGGGGAAACCCAGUGUGAUUCGUUGCACUAUCGUUAACUGAAUACAUAGGUUAACGAGGCGAACCGGGGGAACUGAAACAUCUAAGUACCCCGAGGAAAAGAAAUCAACCGAGAUUCCCCCAGUAGCGGCGAGCGAACGGGGAG
This 256-nucleotide ribosomal RNA is filed under the name Klebsiella pneumoniae. RNAcentral describes it as "partial 23S ribosomal RNA". It matches the Rfam family "Bacterial large subunit ribosomal RNA", at positions 1 to 264 of the family's 2925-position model. Lineage: Bacteria; Pseudomonadati; Pseudomonadota; Gammaproteobacteria; Enterobacterales; Enterobacteriaceae. The record is from RNAcentral.